This 253-nucleotide ribosomal RNA is filed under the name uncultured bacterium. RNAcentral describes it as "partial 16S ribosomal RNA". It matches the Rfam family "Bacterial small subunit ribosomal RNA", at positions 524 to 776 of the family's 1533-position model. The record is from RNAcentral.
GACAGAGGCCUCAAGCGUUAGGCGGAAUCACUGGGCUUAAAGCGUGUGUAGGCGGAUCGUUAAGUGUCUUGUGAAAUCCCACGGCUCACCCGUGGAACGGCUGGGCAUACUGGCGAUCUUGGGCCAACUAGGGGCAACUGGAACAAGCGGUGGAGCGGUGAAAUGCGUAGAUAUCGUUUGGAACGCCAAUGGUGAAAACAAGUAGCUGGGGAUGUGCCGACGCUGAGACACGAAAGCCAGGGGAGCAAACGGG